This 802-nucleotide ribosomal RNA is filed under the name uncultured bacterium. RNAcentral describes it as "bacterial SSU rRNA". It matches the Rfam family "Bacterial small subunit ribosomal RNA", at positions 8 to 810 of the family's 1533-position model. The record is from RNAcentral.
AGAGUUUGUUUCUGGCUCAGGAUGAACGCUGGCGGCGUGCUUAACACAUGCAAGUCGAGCGAAGCACUUAAGUUUGAUUCUUCGGAUGAAGACUUUUGUGACUGAGCGGCGGACGGGUGAGUAACGCGUGGGUAACCUGCCUCAUACAGGGGGAUAACAGUUAGAAAUGACUGCUAAUACCGCAUAAGACCACAGGGUCGCAUGACCCGGUGGUAAAAACUCCGGUGGUAUGAGAUGGACCCGCGUCUGAUUAGCUAGUUGGUGGGGUAACGGCUCACCAAGGCGACGAUCAGUAGCCGACCUGAGAGGGUGACCGGCCACAUUGGGACUGAGACACGGCCCAAACUCCUACGGGAGGCAGCAGUGGGGAAUAUUGCACAAUGGGCGAAAGCCUGAUGCAGCGACGCCGCGUGAAGGAUGAAGUAUUUCGGUAUGUAAACUUCUAUCAGCAGGGAAGAAAAUGACGGUACCUGACUAAGAAGCCCCGGCUAACUACGUGCCAGCAGCCGCGGUAAUACGUAGGGGGCAAGCGUUAUCCGGAUUUACUGGGUGUAAAGGGAGCGUAGACGGCAUGGCAAGUCUGAAGUGAAAACCCGGGGCUCAACCCCGGGACUGCAUUGGAAACUGUUGAUCUGGAGUGCCGGAGAGGUAAGCGGAAUUCCUAGUGUAGCGGUGAAAUGCGUAGAUAUUAGGAGGAACACCAGUGGCGAAGGCGGCUUACUGGACAGUAACUGACGUUGAGGCUCGAAAGCGUGGGGAGCAAACAGGAUUAGAUACCCUGGUAGUCCACGCCGUAAACGAU